Non-coding RNA from Oryctolagus cuniculus (rabbit), 152 nucleotides. The record is from Rfam. Lineage: Eukaryota; Metazoa; Chordata; Mammalia; Lagomorpha; Leporidae.
CUUCCGGAGCAGGACAGAAACCAGGUAAAUUAGCAUGUAAUAUCCUUCCCGUUCCUGUGCAGAUGUCUGAGGCUUCUUUCUCCUUUAGUCAAAUCUGAUUUCUAUUUCUUCUUGGUUAAUACCCCCAGAGUGCUCCUGGCUGCUUGUGCCCA